Long non-coding RNA from Gasterosteus aculeatus aculeatus (three-spined stickleback), 6027 nucleotides. The record is from Ensembl. Lineage: Eukaryota; Metazoa; Chordata; Actinopteri; Perciformes; Gasterosteidae.
GGUGGAACAGCGGCUGGGCCUGUUUACUCAGCUGUGGGCCUCCCCAGGUCCAGGGAAAGAGAGGAUGUGUUCAGGGCCUCAUUAAUCAUGACUGCUUUGGGAAGAGAUAAACAGGCCAGGCCCAGCAGGGAUGCUGCAGCUCCUGCCGCUGGUGGGGGAAAAGGGACAGAGGAGAAGGUGGGGGGGUUAUGCGGAAAGGCCAGUGGGGCGCGAGGAGAGGUGGACUCGCACUCCAGGGGAUACAGCAUAACACUUGCUCUUUGGUUCUACAUCCGCAUGGCUGCACGGGCUUGUAAAUCCACAUUCUUUGUCUGGUCAGAUGCAAACAGGCCGCAUGAACCCAAAGCCCAUUUGUUUUUAGACUGCGUUGUGUAUUUUUUAAAGGAUGAUGCUUUCGCCUACGUUCACGCGCUCGGAUCCUCACACGUUUUCCUUUCGAGGCGACACAUUCCAUUGUCAACUCGCUUCACGUUAUUGCCGCUCUUUACUUUCACUGUGGCAGUUUUCCUCGUGCCAUUUUAAGCUGUUUACAUGCUGUUUACAUUUUUGCUUCUCGACAUAAGCGGCGUAUUUAAUAAACGCUACGGAACCUUAAAUUCAGCGCUGACUUUUGAUUUCAUCCCAGUGUGCUUAGCAAUGAUUAUUAUGAUACGCUGCAGACUGAGCGCUGAGUCUGUUUUGUUUAUUAAUGGAGACUUCUGUUCUCCAAAACUCUUUAACCACAAAUAUUAAGGUUAUUUGAUGGGAAUGAAAUGUGCUCUGCACUGUUCCCUGUUAACUCAACUCUGUUGGCCCGAGUCCCACCAGAUCUUUUCCUUGUCUGUAUCCCUUUCAUGCUUCAUACUCGCUUUCUCAUUAAAAAGACGAGAACGCUUGAGAGAUUCGCAUUCGUCCGUAGAAAGAAAAAAAUUACGCAGAGAAAUAGUGUUCCUGUCAGUCUGUCAUAUGGACGAGACACACGGGUCACAGCGCCAGUGUUAUUCUACACCCACAGAGACUCUGGGAGAAGAAGAAGAAAAAACCCCGCUCCAGAAAGCCCACCGAUUAUUACCUGCCUCUCCUCUCCGCGGCCCGCAGACCGCUGUGCAACGGCCUCUGUGUGCCACAGCCGGCGGCGCUCAUCUCCUGCACACUGUUUCAUCCGUCUGCACAAAAGAAAAAAGGGUCCAAUCAGUUUGAGGGACCUGACAAACGCAAUAAGCCCGGGGUUUGUUUCAGUGCUCCCUCCGAACUGGUUUUUAAGAUAUUGUAUUACUCUGUUUAUUUGAGUCUAUUUCUACAUUAUAGUGUGCGUCUGUGUGCUUUUGCAACGUGUGUUUACGCGCGUCUGUCUGCGCCCUGUGUGUGCGCGUGUGUCCCGGGCCUUGUACACUAAUUGGUCUUGAUGGGGCUCGGAAAAGUGACAUCAUUACCAGAGUGUCUGGAUUUCCACCCAGAGGUCCAACGAGUGGGCAAGAUUGAAAUACGGGAUGCGGUGAAGAAGGCGGAUCCGUGGAUACCAGAUACCUGCUACCACGAUAGCUCCAUCGGCGGGGGGGAGCGCUGCAAUGUCUUCAAAAAUAAAAGAGAAAUCCACCAAUAUCUGGAAGACGAGGACUAGGACGAGACGCCGACAUCCAAUAGAAACCUCAGCCGAACGUCCUGAUGUGGCAGCAUCACAUUUAAAUGGAUAAAAGCAUCACAUGAGGCUGCAGAUGAUCCCUGGAUUUGGUCGGAGGAGGGUGACCUUUGUGAGCAGAAAUAGUGGAGCACAACUUUUGGUUUAUGGUUUAUAGAUUAUGAUCUGCUGCUCUGUGAUGAACUGCUGGAGUCAAAGCUUAAAGGAAGCAACGCUCAGUCUUUUUGCACCAGAAAACGUUUCUUCCGUUGAUCUGAUUUUAUGUGUGCUAUUGUAUAUUCUCCUUUUCUCUUUUUUUAUAAUCAUGUCUCUUUGUGUUGCUUUGUGUUUUAACUUAUUUAGCCGUUUGUCCCAUAAAUAUCAAACAUCUCUUUUACAAGGGAUACAAAACCAGAAUACUACCAGAAACUUCUAGUUUCAUUCAUUUGAUUAAAGAACAGCAAACCCUAAAAGGUCCUGCGAACGGAGACUCUCAUUUACAUGAUUGAAAUUGAAUGAAGAAUGUUUUGUUUAAAGCACGUUAAUGGAAGGCUGUUUGUCUCUAUCUACCAGGAAAUGGAUUUACCUUCAAAACGUGUCCUGCAAAGCCUCAAUAAAACAGAUAGAUAUUAGAUAUAACACAUCACAGGUCAACACUAUACUCACCGGUGCAACAGCUUAACAUAAUUACUAACGUGUCUCUGUUCCGAUCGAUAUUAACGGGCCUCCUUUGCAGUUGUGACAUGAAGACAAACAAGGAAUUUUAUGUUUUAGUGUUCAUUAUUUAUUAUAAACACUUUAAUACCUGGAUUGUGGAUGUUUGAGGGCCGAAUUUGUUUGUGUACAUGACUGCACAUUUGAACUGAUCACAAACAAUCACAACUUUACACUUUGUUUAUGUCCCUACAGCAUUGUCUGCUCUAAAAUGUUUGCUGAGAUAUUGUUAUUAUAUAUAUAUAUAUAUAUAUUAUAUAUGAAUUUCACCUCGGGGACAGCUGGUGAUUGGCGCCACCUGGCGGUCAGUUACGUCUCUCUGCUGCACGAUACAAACGUUUAAAGUAACUUCCUAUAUUAUUCCUAUAUAAGACUAUAUUCAAUUCACUAAGAAACAGUUGUCCAAAAAUUGUCCAAAAGGCCUUAAACACUCACAAGACCCUUCACCUUGUUGCAUUAGACAGGGACUAAUAUUUAUUUGUUUUGCCUUUGGAUACUUAAAUCUAAUUUUGCUGGUAACACAAGCACAAUUUUGAAUAUCUUAACUUGUUUAUUUAUAUUAAUUUAAUAAAUGUAUUAAUAAAGGAGCUUGAAAUUGACUUUGAUUUGCUCUAAACAUUGUCCAGACAUUGCAUCACUGAAAGUAUUCUGUACUACCAGAAGUGACCUCACGGUGGCGUCUGUCACUAAGACAUGGAGGGGUUUUCUGUCCACCGUCCAAAAUAUUUACCCAAACUGUCCCCAGAAACAUAAAUCGUCUUCGGCCAUCUGCUCAGGUAAGUGGUAGUUUAGGUAAGUGGUAGGUCUGUCCACGGGGUACUGGUCUCUGCUGGAGGAUCCGGGUCUGUCCACAGGGUACUAGUCUCUGCUGGAGGAUCUCAGUCUGUCCACGGGGGAACUGGUCUCUGCUGGAGGAUCCGGGUCUGUCCACGGGGAACUGGGUCUCUGCUGGUGGAGGUUCUGGUGAACCUGCAUGGAAGUCACCUGGUUUCAGCAGAAUCUUGCCGGGUGGCAUCGAGUAGAAAUGCAGAAUCUUCUCUCUGAUGGUCUCGUAUACAGGUUUAGGUCACAUAGAGGCAUCAGUAUUAAACUGAGACUGUUUAAUAAUCAUAAUAUACAAAUUGGUUGUUUAACUGGAGAGGUGCAGGUCGGCGUCAGACUGCUGUUUCUUUACGCUGAGUCCACAUCACUUUAGACAACGACAGCUAAAGCCACCGAAGGCCAUCGGCCAAUGGAUCUUCUCCAUCUUCUUACAUCUUCUCCCCUUGAAGGGUUCUUAGGUUUUCCAAACCAUUCCAUUGUUACCAUCGCAUAGCACUUUUAUUGAAACUGCUGUAAAUUAGAUUAUUAUACACACCGCUAGCAAACGCUUGGCUACUCUUUGCAGUUGCAUUCAGUGCUUUCUGGAUCGAGUCUGUCUUUCUAUCUUCAUCACACAAUCAAUUACCACAUGAAACUAGACUCCAAGUCAGAUCACUCGGCGUGACUGUCAAAACAGCUCCUCUAAAGAUCUUAAAUAACAAGUGGCCGGAUGACCUAUCUACUCGCGAUUAUGCAACGGUAUGUGUAACCGGAUAGCGCAGGGAAAAUGUUUUCACUGAAUCGGACCCACCCGUAUCAGAUGUCUUCUGUGUCACAGUGUGGAUUUAAUAGCUUCAGGGAAGCAGCGAGCUAUUUUUUCUUUGAAAAAACGGUCACUUAGCAUUUAUUUGUCUGUUGAGCCUUUUUCAUUAGGGAGCAGGCUUCUGUGUGUUUGAGUGGCAUGUUCAUUACUCUCGAGCUGGAAUGCAUGUAUUAUAUAUCAUAUGUGUUUUAACCAGAGUCUCCUCUAGACUUCUUCAACUAAAGCGCCUAGCGUCAGCGUAAGGGUGCUAGCAUGCUACGAUUAGCUUUAUAAAAAGAGCACACUUGAUUUUGAUUCUUGCUUUUGGCAAGAAACCAAAAUAUUGGACGGUGAAAUGUUGAUAAACGGGGUUUGGGGAAUAAUGAAUAAAAUGGAACAAUGUUACAUAAUAAAAAGAAUACAAAAAAGUAGUUAUUUUGUGACAGCUACCUUAAAAUACAUAUUUUCUUUUGAACUACCAUUGAUAUGUUCACACAUUAGAAAACAAGUCACAACGUUGGCUAACGUUGGUGGGAGAAAUGCUUCCACUGGGUGUAAAUCUUGUUCGUAAAGCAGGAAAAAAGGGAACAAGUUGUGUCCAAGUUUGCUACAAACGAGGUUGGUGUGCUUACUUUCCACUUCAUCCAAACCAUCUUCCCAGAGUCAACCCAGCGUGACAAGAAGGUUUGAUUCAGCUUCUCAUUUCUUCUCCUGCAAAACUGAUACAGGAUAAACUGGGAAAAUGUGCAUUUGAUUUAAUUUAAUUGAUAUAGUUAGUUGCUGCUCCCAGUUUAAAAUCCGGUACUGCUAAUGGGCCAAAAGAUUUGAGUUUGUAUUUUAACUUUCCUGUGAUGUUUCCCAUUUCCGCUCUAAACACAAAUCAUUCCGAUAAUUUUUCUUGUCUCUGGUCUUUAUUUUAUUUAAUUUGGUAUUGAGGUAAUCCAAAAGGAACAGAGACUCAAUACGUAAUGGCUCCGUAAUAUUGUGAUAUUUGUAACGACAUCUUUUACAAGUUAACUGGACUUUGUUUUUGGAAUACAUCUUUAAAGUAACCCUCCCGACGCUGCAUCUCAAACACAUCUCCCACGAGAACGCAAGACGAGGGACACACGAUACACCUGCACCCGCCUCUGCAGAAUCCUCUUGUUCAACACACACACGACAGGAAUGUGUGGGAAACUCUCUCAGCCAAAGCUAUAAACAAUACAACAACCAAACGUCUGGAUCACCCGCCAAGAAAGAAACCGGUUUGAAACUGUUGUCAAUUAAUGACAUCAUCUGAGACAUUACAUCGUCUGCGGCACGUUGGGGUGAAAAGUUCAUGAACAGUGUUCUGUGACUGCGUGCGAGAUCUCUGCGCGUUCUUUCCCCCGGGGUUUUGCCGGUAAGGAGAUUACUGGAGUAUCAUUUCCUCUGACCGUGGAAACCCAUUUUCUGGGUCAGUGGACCCCACGAAAGCGCUGAUUGAGUCUUAAAUGGGGCUCCUUCAAGCAUACGUUUGCUCCCCUUGUACCCGAGACAAUGAGCCCAACGGCAGCAAAGCAGAGCGGCAACGCCCUCGCGACAUUACUGGGAAAUGUGGUAACAUCGGAACAAUUGAGCGCUUCAGUCAACAACACGUCUCAGGCCUCACGGUCCAAAGGUUGGAAGAAAGAACGCCACAGUGUGAAUCCUACUAGAGGAUUCGUAUUAAAGUGAAGGAUUUUUGAGUCAUUUAAACACUUGUGUUAACGCUUUUUUAUGGUCAACAAGCCAGACCUGUUUUUGUAAAAAGUUUAAUAAAUAAGAAUAAAAAAAGGGGGGGCGGCGAGUGAUUUGUAGGACAGAAUUCCAAAAGUUCACAGUAGUUCCAGAUGAUGAACAGUCAAAAGCCGUCAGUAAUGGCGGACUUUCUAAGAAUUGGAGAAACUGGCGGCGCUUCUUUGAGCAUUGAGCUAAAUGAUAACGUUGGAAUAUUUACCAUGUUCGUCCACAUGUUUAGUGGGUUAGCAUGCUAACAUUUGCUGAUAGGUUCUGUUGAGAAUAAUCAGGAUUUAAUUGGUUUUGCAGUUUUUGGUCAUAAGUCAAAGUAAACGACAAAUGAAAACGUUUAACUCGAUGAGAUCGAAAGUAA